RNAcentral lists this ribosomal RNA (402 nucleotides) under uncultured bacterium. RNAcentral's name for it is "bacterial SSU rRNA". It matches the Rfam family "Bacterial small subunit ribosomal RNA", at positions 355 to 774 of the family's 1533-position model. RNAcentral also lists the same sequence under 1 other name. The record is from RNAcentral.
UGGGGAAUAUUGGACAAUGGGCGCAAGCCUGAUCCAGCCAUGCCGCGUGAGUGAUGACGGCCUUAGGGUUGUAAAGCUCUUUUAACAGGGACGAUAAUGACGGUACCUGUAGAAUAAGCCCCGGCUAACUUCGUGCCAGCAGCCGCGGUAAUACGAAGGGGGCUAGCGUUGUUCGGAAUUACUGGGCGUAAAGCGCACGUAGGCGGAUUUUUAAGUCAGGGGUGAAAUCCCGAGGCUCAACCUCGGAACUGCCUUUGAUACUGGAGAUCUUGAGUUCGGAAGAGGUUGGUGGAACAGCUAGUGUAGAGGUGAAAUUCGUAGAUAUUAGCUAGAACACCAGUGGCGAAGGCGGCCAACUGGUCCGAUACUGACGCUGAGGUGCGAAAGCGUGGGGAGCAAACA